This 497-nucleotide ribosomal RNA is filed under the name uncultured bacterium. RNAcentral's name for it is "partial 16S ribosomal RNA". It matches the Rfam family "Bacterial small subunit ribosomal RNA", at positions 28 to 507 of the family's 1533-position model. The record is from RNAcentral.
GAUGAACGCUGGCGGCGUGCCUAAUACAUGCAAGUCGAGCGAACAGACGAGGAGCUUGCUCCUCUGACGUUAGCGGCGGACGGGUGAGUAACACGUGGAUAACCUACCUAUAAGACUGGGAUAACUUCGGGAAACCGGAGCUAAUACCGGAUAAUAUCUGCAACCGCAUGGUUGAAUAGUGAAAGCCGGUUUUGCUGUCACUUAUAGAUGGAUCCGCGCGGCAUUAGCUAGUUGGUAAGGUAACGGCUUACCAAGGCAACGAUGCGUAGCCGACCUGAGAGGGGGAUCGGCCACACUGGAACUGAGCCACGGUCCAGACUCCUACGGGAGGCAGCGGUAGGGACUCGUCGGCAAAGGGCGAAAGCCUGACGGAGCAACGCCGCGUGAGUGAUGAAGGUCUUCGGAUCGUAAAACUCUGUUAUUAGGGAAGAACGAAUGUGUAAGUAACGAUGCACGUCUUGACGGUACCUAAUCAGAAAGCAACGGCUAACUACGUG